UACGUAGGGGGCGAGCGUUGUCCGGAAUUACUGGGCGUAAAGAGCGCGUAGGCGGCACCAUAAGUCUUGUGUGAAAGCCCCCGGCUCAACUGGGGAGGGUCGCGAGAAACUGUGGAGCUGGAGUGUCGGAGAGGGAAGUGGAAGUCCCGGAGUAGGGGUGAAAUCCGUAGAGACCGGGCCGAACACCAGUGGCGAAGGCGGCUUCCUGGCCGACGACUGACGCUGAGGCGCGAAAGCGUGGGGAGCGAACGGG
This 253-nucleotide ribosomal RNA is filed under the name uncultured bacterium. RNAcentral describes it as "partial 16S ribosomal RNA". It matches the Rfam family "Bacterial small subunit ribosomal RNA", at positions 524 to 776 of the family's 1533-position model. The record is from RNAcentral.